ACAAAUGAAAUCAAGGAAAUUCAUUUCUACAUGGUAUCAGCUUUCUUAGAUCCUAGAGUUUCAGUUUUCUUACCUGUGAUGUGUCAUUCUUCUUCUUCUUCUUUUGUCUAUCUUCAGUCUCUUCCUCCUUGUCCUCCAUUCCGAAUCCUAGUAUUACAAAUUUCGUUAAAUUAUCUUAUUCUAACUAUCCCAUAUGGCUUCGUCAAAUUAUCUCUUUUCUUCAUGAAGAUUAGAAGAAAUUAGACAUUUAAGUAACUUCUUCUUUCUAAUUUUACCAUUUUUUUUAGGAAUAAAAUGGAUAAACAUUAUGUUAAAUAAUAUUUGAUGCUCAUAAUUUUCUAGUCAUUGAACCUAGCCAUUUUAUAUAUUCCUUUUCUAACCAUUGUACUUAGUUGUUGACCCUAAAACUACCAAGAAUACGUGGCACGCAGGCCGAGCAACGAAUAAGCUAACUACGUCAUUCGGUUGUGUACGGGGCGUGCCAACUCGUUGACCGAGUUUGGCCGGGGAGUCAAGUAUGUUGAUGUCACGUUGGGCGCACUGUUGACUUCUUGAUCUUCCGAUUGCGGCCGAGGAAGGAACACGCCUCGACCUUUGAGUUCUAGAGCUUGAAGACAAAGCUACUAGUUUCUUCGAAGUUCACGAAUCGUUGGCGCCGGGUUCGGUCUCGGUAAUUAUAUUCGUGAGAGUAUAAGUACGCUGAACUGGUACCAAACUGUAUGAACACAAAUACUCGAAAGAAAUAAAUGUCUUGAUUGUAAAUGUGGUUAGGCCAUCGGAAUGCCGAACUCUAAAAUGUACUUGCAAAUAUCCAAUCAUAAAAAAAUACUCGACUUUCAAUGUGCCGAGCCUAGUAACCUGUAACACCUCACUUCACCAAGAAGGCUGAUGAGAUGACCUCUACUAACAAAGAAUCGAAAAUCCUUGUUGACCGAGACUUGGAUAUAUAACCAGUCGGUCUCGAAGCAGAUUAGCAAUGCUGUUUAUCCAAACUAAAGAUGCUCCUUAGUUGGCUGAUUUUACUGCUCUAAUGCUGUUUAUUCAAACUGAAGAUGUCGUCGGUUGCCUUCACAAUGCUGUUUAUCCAAACUAAAGAUGUGUUGGCGAGAAAAAAGGGGGAGAGAAAAAAAUCUCAAGGUUGUUGAGAAGCUUUGUGUAGAACAAUUUGUGUGUUGAUUUGAAGGGGCAUUGAAUGAUACACUCCCUUCUCUAUUUAUAACAGCAAACUUCCUUCAUGGUCGAACUAGAAAUGUACUCGAAUUAGAACUCCUCAACCCAAUCUGAUCAGGUUUCAACCAAUCCUAACCCUUAUAGGAUUUUGAACCAAGCUCCUUAACAAACCAGAUUCAUCCCCUAAUUCUAAGCAUCUUCAGCUUUAAGACUCCUUGUUGCACUAGGGUUCGACUACCUCACAUUUAUCUAAACCAAUCCUUCUAGCAACAUAAUUUGGCCGAUUUUGACUAGACAACCCAUGACAAGAUUCUAGAUGAAUGUUAUUGGGCCGAGAACAACUCUACACUCGGCCCAAAAUAUUAUUUUGGGCCCAAACACUAGCCCAUUGUAUAUUCCUUUGUAGUUUCCAAUGAGUCUCUAUCCAUACGAAAAAUAUAUUGUACUCUUUGCACACAAAUGAAAUCAAGGGAAUUCAUUUCUACAUGGUAUCAGCUUUCUUAGAUCCUAGAGUUUCGGUUUUCUUACUUGUGAUUGUGUCAUUAUUCUUCUUCUUCUUUUGCCUAUCUUCUGUUUGUCAUGGCCUUUUCCUCAUUGUCCUCCAUUCUGAAUCCCAGCAUUACAAACUUCGUUAAAUUAUCUUAUUCUAACUAUCUCAUAUGGCUCCGUCAAAUUAUCUCUUUUCUUCAUGAAGAUUAGAAGAAAUUAGACAUUUAAGUAACUUCUUCUUUCUAAUUUUACCAUUUUUUUAGAGGAUUAAAAUGGAUAAACAUUAUGUUAAAUAAUAUUAAAUGUUCAUAAGUUUCUAGUCAUUGAACCUAGCCAUUGUAUAUAUUCCUUUUCUAACCAUUCUACCUAGCCCUAUUGUAUAUUCCUUUGUAGUUUCCAAUGAAUCUCUAUCCAUACGAAGAAUAUAUUGUACUCUUUACACACAAAUGACAUCAAGGAAAUUCAUUUGUACAUACUAUUAGCUUUUUUAGACUCUAGGGUUUCGGUUUUCUUACCUGUGAUCAUGUCAUUCUUCUUCAUAUGUCCAUCUUCUGUUUGUCAUGGCCUCUUUCUCCUCGUCCUCUAUUCCAAAUCCCACCAUCACAAACUUCGUCAAACUAUCUCAUUCUAACUAUCUCAAAUG
RNAcentral lists this long non-coding RNA (2302 nucleotides) under Malus domestica (apple). Its description in RNAcentral is "long non-coding RNA (MDOM_LNC008060)". The record is from RNAcentral. Lineage: Eukaryota; Viridiplantae; Streptophyta; Magnoliopsida; Rosales; Rosaceae.